UACGGGGGGAGCAAGCGUUGUUCGGAUUUACUGGGCGUAAAGGGCGCGUAGGCGGCGUGGCAAGUCACUUGUGAAAUCUCCGGGCUUAACUCGGAACGGUCAAGUGAUACUGCUGUGCUAGAGUGCGGAAGGGGCAACUGGAAUUCUUGGUGUAGCGGUGAAAUGCGUAGAUAUCAAGAGGAACACCUGCGGCGAAGGCGGGUUGCUGGGCCGACACUGACGCUGAGGCGCGAAAGCCAGGGGAGCGAACGGG
This 253-nucleotide ribosomal RNA is filed under the name uncultured bacterium. RNAcentral describes it as "partial 16S ribosomal RNA". It matches the Rfam family "Bacterial small subunit ribosomal RNA", at positions 524 to 776 of the family's 1533-position model. The record is from RNAcentral.